UACGUAGGGUGCAAGCGUUAAUCGGAAUUACUGGGCGUAAAGCGUGCGCAGGCGGCUAUGCAAGACAGAUGUGAAAUCCCCGGGCUCAACCUGGGAACUGCAUUUGUGACUGCAUGGCUAGAGUACGGCAGAGGGGGAUGGAAUUCCUGGUGUAGCAGUGAAAUGCGUAGAUAUCAGGAGGAAUACCGAUGGCGAAGGCAGGUCUCUGGGCUGACACUGACGCUCAUGCACGAAAGCGUGGGGAGCAAACAGG
RNAcentral lists this ribosomal RNA (253 nucleotides) under uncultured bacterium. RNAcentral's name for it is "partial 16S ribosomal RNA". It matches the Rfam family "Bacterial small subunit ribosomal RNA", at positions 524 to 776 of the family's 1533-position model. The record is from RNAcentral.